Corapipo altera (White-ruffed manakin) is the source of this 831-nucleotide long non-coding RNA. RefSeq lists it as uncharacterized. The transcript has 4 exons. Lineage: Eukaryota; Metazoa; Chordata; Aves; Passeriformes; Pipridae. The record is from RefSeq and is a predicted model, not a curated record.
UGCCAGGCGAGAGGAGAGGAGAGGAAAGGAGCCGCCAGCGGCUCGGGCAGCGCGCUGCGUCUGGGUCUCCGGGGAUGGACUGGGCUUCGCCCUGCGCCUCAGCCUGCCCGCGGAGAGGAGGGCGGUGAUCGGCCGCCCAGCCCACCAGGGAGGAGAGGCACCCCCGCCUGCGCCGAGGGACCGGCACGACCCUGCUGACGCCCGGUUAAAUGUCACGGCUCGCCGUCCGCUCCCCGCCGCCGCCCCGCGCAUCGCUCACCUCGGGAAGGGGCUGUGAAGGUGGCGGCAGAGGCAGCCUCGGCUGCGGCGCGCCCCGCCGCCGCUCGCCGUGAGGGAGCGCCCAGGCAGCCGCCAGUAAGUGAGCAGUGGAGCUAGAAAACUUGGCAGAACUCUUUGUCUUUCCUGCUUGUAUCUGUGGAAACUGGUUUGCAAGAUUGAUAUGAAGAUAAACAGUCUGGAUGAGGGAAGUAGUGGAGGACUUUCACCACAAGUGUGAAAAAUGAGCAUUCCCAACCUAGUGCAGUGAUCGUCUCUAGGACUUGAAUGCACUAAGUCGUAAGGUAUGUUAUUUAUAAUUUCUAUGAUAAAAUAAACAGAUUUGAAUAUGUCUUCUAUUAUUGUUCGUAGUUAUGUUGAAGACAGUUAAACAUUGAAUUGUUUUAGUCUUAUGUUUACAAAUGUUAGGAAUCUUUUUCUCUACAUGGAAAAGGUGAGAUGUAUGUAAAUUUUGUUCUUUUGGUUGGUAAGUAGGUCACAGAUCAUAUAUAUGUCAUUAUUCUUAAAUGGAUGGAACAGCUUUAGCUAAUUCAUGGACUGAUAAGUCUUGUCCUA